Molecule: non-coding RNA, 854 nt
Organism: Ictidomys tridecemlineatus (thirteen-lined ground squirrel)
Lineage: Eukaryota; Metazoa; Chordata; Mammalia; Rodentia; Sciuridae
Source: RefSeq, a predicted model, not a curated record
CGAUCGUGGUAUUGGCCUCGAAGUUGGGAGCUUCGUCCCCGAGAAGGAGCCCUCCGGGCAUGGCGGCACCGGUGACGAGAGGACGAGCAGGCGCAGCCGCAGCAGAAUGAACCGCUGGCGGGGACCGAGAGAAGAAAGGCCACAUGAAGUCAUCGAGGAGGUGUUGAUCCCCGUCCAGCAAGGUCAACUGAACCCAAGCCGCUCGUGUGAAUUCGGGGUGAUGCAAAAUACCACGCAGACACGGAGCACCUUUUUAUUUCUCACAAAGUUGCUGAGGUUGCCUUUGAACUUGUGAUCCUCCUGUCUCAGCCUCCCAAGCCACUGAGAUUACAGUAUGUUUGUCUGAAGUGGGUCAGUGGGUCUGGGUAACCUGGCACCUGGACCAGCAGAAGCUCCACCUACCUCUUGCUGUGGCACCGCCUGGAACACCCUCUUCAUCAUACAACAGGGAAGAAAGUACCUGAGUGCACCACACUGGCCGUUAAGUGCUCUGCCUGGGAUGCUACUUGUCACUUCCACUCACCAACCAUGAGCAGAAACUGGACUCAGGGCCUUGCUGUUAGGGGGAGAGCUGCUUCCCUCGGUCACACUCUUCUGCCAGGAUGUUGUGCCUCUCCUUGAGCCCCAAGGAAUGGAACCGGCUCUCUAGGACUGAGCCCCCUGAAACCCUCCUCAGAUCAAGUCCGAAGUCCUUCACUGAGAACAAAAGUCCCUUCAGGACAGCUUCUCGGGGCCACGGCUCUCCUUGACAUCCUGCUCUCUGUCCAUCAGCGGUUCCUGACGCCUCCGCACACAGCAAGAAUGUAAAAAAGUGGAGAGAAUGUGAUUAAAGAAGAAGAAGAAGAAGAAGGAGG